UAUGGUGUAGUCACAUAUAGUAAUAUAUAGUCACGUGUAGUAACAUACAAUAAUAUAUGGUGUAGUCACAUAUAGUAAUAUAUAGUUAUAUAUAAACUAUGUAGUCAUGUAGUCAUAUGUAGUCAUGUAUGAGUUAUGUGGGGAGUAUCUAUGUAUACCAGUAGGUGAUAGUGCGUGUGUGCACAUUUAAAUUUGAAGCAAAAUUCGUUGUUUGUUUAACUCUUUUUCUUUUUCACAGGUCUUGAUGUUUGAACUACUAUGUAGUAAGUUUUUUCACAGGUCUUGGUGUUUGAACUACUAUGUAGUAAGUUUUUUCACAGGUCUUGGUGUUUGAACUACUAUGUAGUAAGUUUUUGCAGAGUG
RNAcentral lists this long non-coding RNA (363 nucleotides) under Erythranthe guttata (spotted monkey flower). Its description in RNAcentral is "long non-coding RNA (EGUT_LNC001529)". Lineage: Eukaryota; Viridiplantae; Streptophyta; Magnoliopsida; Lamiales; Phrymaceae. The record is from RNAcentral.